AAGGAAUGAUUGCUGCUAGCAUUUAUUUUUCCACAAUUAUUUUCAGGGUUGUCCUUUCGAGGCAGACCAGAUCAAGGAGUGGUGCGUGCAGUACCUCAUCCCAGGAUAAAUCCAGGGAGGCUCUAUGACUCAGGAAUGACUCACUGCUCCUCCUCUGUUCCUUCCAGACUCUUGGGGGUGUGCUAAUUUAUUGUCAGUCUGUAUCUGCAGUCAAUUAUUCCCCCCAGCUCAGCUCUCCUGUCCAGAAGGAAUUCAGGCACAUUCUGCUCAUUGCUCACCUCUCCAGAGAGGCAAACAGCGUGCCUUGGUUCCCCUGUGCAGCACCACAAACAGCUUCACAAGCACGGAGCAGGGACCACUCCUGUGCCCAGGGCUGGGGAGAGCUGCGGCUGCUGCCAAGGAAAAGUCUUUGCAACUGCUGCCAACUAAUCAGCAGUCCAAGUUCCAUGGCUUGCUUUUGAGGAGGUCACGCUGCAGG
This 478-nucleotide long non-coding RNA is filed under the name Taeniopygia guttata (zebra finch). Its description in RNAcentral is "lncRNA (ENSTGUG00000025705.1)". The record is from RNAcentral. Lineage: Eukaryota; Metazoa; Chordata; Aves; Passeriformes; Estrildidae.